UAGGGUAUUGAACAGAUUUGUU
Molecule: microRNA, 22 nt
Filed under: Anopheles gambiae (African malaria mosquito)
Lineage: Eukaryota; Metazoa; Arthropoda; Insecta; Diptera; Culicidae
Description: aga-miR-10367-5p
Source: miRBase by way of RNAcentral